UUUAAAAAUAAAUUUUGAUUUAUAAAAUUUAAUUAAUUAAAAUAAUAAUAAAAAUUAUAAAAAUUUUAGUAAUUAUAAUGAAAAAAUAUAUAAAAUAAUAUUAAAGUAUUGUAAAAGAAUAUAUAUAUAUUUAAUUAAAUAUAAAGAUAAAUUAUUUUUUUUUACCUUUUGUAUCAGGGUUAAUUAAAAAUUUUUAUUUAUUUAAAUAUUUCGAAAUUAAUUGAGUUAAAAUUUAAUUAUAAUUAAUAUUAUAAAAUUAUUAUAAAUUAAAUUUUAGUAAUUAUAUGUUAUUCAUAAUUAAUAAUAUCUAGUUUUUUAAUAGAUGAAUUUAAUUCAGUAAUUUAUUUAAAUUAAAUUAUUUAUUAAAUUUUUAAUUUUAAUAAAUAAAAUAAAUUAUAAAAUUUUGGGGGAUAAACUUUAAAAUUAAUUUUAUAAAUAAUUUUAUAAAAUUUAUUUAAAAAUAUAAUUUAAAAUUUUAAUUUUUAAAAAAUAUUUAAUAAUUUAUAGAAAUUUUUAUAUAAUAAUAAUUUAAAAAAUUAUUUUAAAUGUUAUAUUAAAAUAUAAAUUUAAAUUUAAAAAAUUUAGUAAUAAUGAUUAAAUUAGUAAAAAUUAAUUAAAAUAAAAAAAUUUAAAAAUUUGAUAAAAUUAAAUUAAUGAAUUAGGCAAAAAAAAAUAUUUACCUGUUUAUUAAAAACAUGUCUUUAAGAAUAUUAAUAUUUAAAGUCUAAUCUGCUCAAUGAUAUAAUAUAUUAAAUAGCUGCAAUAUUUUAAUUGUACAAAGGUAGCAUAAUUAUUUGUCUUUUAAAUGAGGGAUGGAAUGAAAGAUUAUAUAAAAUAUUAACUAUAUAAAAUUUAAUUAAUUAAAAUUUAUUUUUAAGUAAAAAAUCUUAAAUUAUUUUGUUAGACGAUAAGACCCUAUAGAACUUUAUAAUUAAUAUAAAUAUAAAUAUUAAUUUUAAAAUAUAAUUAAAAAUUAUAUUAUAUAAUUUAUUAAUUAUUUUAUUGGGGGUAUAAAAAAAUUAUUUAAUUUUUUUAUUUAAAAAAUCAUUUUAUAUAUGUAAAAAUAAUAAAAGUUAUUAAAAAAUUUUAUUAUUAAUUAAAAGAGUGUUUUUAAUAAAAAUUAAUAGAUUAAGUUACCUUAGGGAUAACAGCAUAAUUCUUUUAGAGAGAUCUUAUUGAUAAAAGAGAUUAUGACCUCGAUGUUGAAUUAAGAUAAAUAUUAAAAGGAGAAUUUUAUUUAUUAAGUUUGUUCAACUUUUAAAAUCUUACAUGAUUUGAGUUAAAAUCGGUGUGAGCCAGAUUGGUUUUUAUCUUUAAAAAAUUAAUUAUAAAUAAUUGUACGAAAGGACUUUAUUUAUUAAAUUUUUUAAUUAUUAAUAAAUUUUAUUGAAUUAAAUUAAUAAAUUAAAUAGAAAAAU
This 1418-nucleotide ribosomal RNA is filed under the name Melanips sp. ZJUH 20220003. RNAcentral's name for it is "16S ribosomal RNA". Lineage: Eukaryota; Metazoa; Arthropoda; Insecta; Hymenoptera; Figitidae. The record is from RNAcentral.